This 465-nucleotide ribosomal RNA is filed under the name Vreelandella stevensii. RNAcentral describes it as "partial 16S ribosomal RNA". It matches the Rfam family "Bacterial small subunit ribosomal RNA", at positions 338 to 795 of the family's 1533-position model. The record is from RNAcentral. Lineage: Bacteria; Pseudomonadati; Pseudomonadota; Gammaproteobacteria; Oceanospirillales; Halomonadaceae.
CCUACGGGUCGCAGCAGUGGGGAAUAUUGGACAAUGGGCGAAAGCCUGAUCCAGCCAUGCCGCGUGUGUGAAGAAGGCCUUCGGGUUGUAAAGCACUUUCAGUGGGGAAGAAAGCCUUGGGGCUAAUACCCUCGAGGAAGGACAUCACCCACAGAAGAAGCACCGGCUAACUCCGUGCCAGCAGCCGCGGUAAUACGGAGGGUGCGAGCGUUAAUCGGAAUUACUGGGCGUAAAGCGCGCGUAGGCGGUCUGAUAAGCCGGUUGUGAAAGCCCCGGGCUCAACCUGGGAACGGCAUCCGGAACGGUCAGGCUAGAGUGCAGGAGAGGAAGGUAGAAUUCCCGGUGUAGCGGUGAAAUGCGUAGAGAUCGGGAGGAAUACCAGUGGCGAAGGCGGCCUUCUGGACUGACACUGACGCUGAGGUGCGAAAGCGUGGGUAGCAAACAGGAUUAGAUACCCUAGUAGUC